AAAUACUUAGGAGUAAAGAGUUACGAGGGGUAGGAUGUCUGUAACUUACCUCACACGGUUCAGAAAAACUGUAUGUAGUGUUAUAUGUAAUAUCUAUGAGAAAUAAUGAGAAUGAAUUAAGGCAAAUGUGGCAAAAUGUUAAAUGAUGAGUCUAGGUGAACUGCACAUAGAAGUUUCUGUGCUAUUUUUUAAACUUUUUUAUAAAGAUAAAAUGAUUUGAAAGUAAAAAGUUUAAAAAGGUAAGGGUGGACGAAUGCUGAACCCUACUUUUCUUCCACAAGUCAAAUAUCCCUUUCCUCUUCCAUAUAAUCCCAGCUGUCUUGCCAUUAAAUUAUACUUGCUUGUGUUGCUGCUUUGGUGCACAGUUAGAGGAAGAAAAACAAAUAAUAUUAAGAAGGAUGUGGAACGUAACAUCUUUCAGCAUUCUCUUAGUCUCAACAAUCUGAUAAAGAUACUCAAAACAGAAUAAAAACUUUUCCUGUCAAGGUCCAGAUAGCAACUAUUUUAGGCUUUGCAGGCUACAUACAGUCCUAUAACAUUUCUCCUUUUCCCCCCAAUCACCUCUUUAUGCUUGUAGGCAUUACAAAAAUAGACUGUGGGCUGGAUUUGGAGACAGGUCAUAGUUUGCUGACCCCUGACAGAAUUAUUAAAUUUCUCUAAGAACUACAAGUAUCUCUAUUGGUCCCCGAAAAUAGCAAGGACAUUACUGAAUAAAUAAAGCAGCAAAAAUUUUAUCAGCGUGGUAGUCAGUUCUUAGGGCAGUAAACAGUUAAUAAAGUUAAACUUUAAACAAACAAACAAAAGAAGAACAUUUCUUAAAGUUUCUUCUGUAACUCUAAAGUUGUCACAUUUGGGUUUGGGGUUUUUUUGAGGGGUAAGAAUGGGGCAAGGGGGUCACUUACAUAAAGUUGCUGAUUUUCUUUUUGAGACAGAGCACCUCAGGAAAGAGAACGAAGAAAAAACAAGUUCCACUUGGGAAAAGUAAGACGGCCUAGAUUUUAGAACUGCGAUAUAAAACUGAAGGGGUGACAUUUUAGAGCCGUUCCUGUCUUAAUUCAUAUCAUUCCCACUCCGUACCCGGAUUCUCCAAAUUUAAAUGGUAUUUUUAAAAAAUAGUAUAGAAAAUCUAGGAAUUAGAAGUAUAUGCCUACACAUAGGCUUUGUAAUAAUUAUGUGAGCAAGGCCUACCCAAGUAGAACAUGGGCCUUUGGUAACAGCCAUGGGCCUUUAGCUAUCGAUGGCUUACUGACAUUUCAAGCAAUGAACUAAAAAGAGCUGACAAGACGCAAUGCAUUGAUUUAAAUGCCACUCUCCUAGGUCUUAUUAUUUUAAAUGCCAGCAAGUCUUAGGGAAAAUGGAUCCACCAUUUUAAAUGUUUAUACUCUCUAAGAUCAGUCAUCUAAAAAGAAACCUUCUUACUUCAGGUAAGUUACUGCUUUUUACAUUAACCAAAUACGCAUUGUUGUGCUUACAAUGCUUACUGUAUGUCAUUAUGUUACCUUCAAUUUUGUCAAGCAGGUUAAAGAAUUGGAAAACAAAGUUUGAAACCUGAAUACCUAUCAAGGGUUAAAGUAUUAGAGAUAUACAACAAACUUAACUAUGAAUGACUCCUGUCAGUGUAUCUAAUUGUUGUUACUGUACAUGGAAAUUAAGCUUAAAGUACAAGUGGCAAAUGACUAUUAUUACCAUAUAUGUAACUCACCAGUAUUUAUAAUCAGAAUUUCUUGCCAUAAUUUUUCUUCUAUGACACUCGUAUAGUUAUUAAAACAUUGAAAGACAAAUGUAAGCCAUCCCAGUCAAUACCAAGGGUUUCUUAUAUCCUUCCACUAGUUGGAAAAGUUUAUACUAUCCCAAUUCUCAGCCACAAUCCAGGCUCAAUUAAAAGACUUACUGAAUUUUUCUUUUGUGUGCAUAUGCAUGUCUUUUGUCUUUUUAGGGCCGCACCUGAGACAUAUGGAGUGGGAGCAGCCCUAGAAAAGGCAAAAAACACACACACACAAAAAAGAAAUGAGGAACUUAAUAAAGCUUUUAAAAGAAAAACGUAAAAAAUACAAGGGCUAAGAUUUAACACUGUUAAGAUGUCAAUGCUACCACAAAUCAUCCACAUAGUUAAUGUAACCUCGAUCAAAAUCUUAAAGGUGUUUUUUUUUUUUUUUUUUUUUAAGGGCCACACCCACAGCAUAUGGAGGAUCCCAGGCUGGGGGUCGAAUUGGAGCUGUAGCUAUUGGUCCACAGCCACAGCAGCACUGGAUCCAAGCCACGUCUGUGAUCUACACUACAGUUCAGAGCAAUGCCAGAUCCUUA
RNAcentral lists this long non-coding RNA (2304 nucleotides) under Sus scrofa (pig). Its description in RNAcentral is "lncRNA (ENSSSCG00065015764.1)". The record is from RNAcentral. Lineage: Eukaryota; Metazoa; Chordata; Mammalia; Artiodactyla; Suidae.